Molecule: ribosomal RNA, 733 nt
Filed under: Bacillus sp. CH37
Lineage: Bacteria; Bacillati; Bacillota; Bacilli; Caryophanales; Bacillaceae
Description: bacterial SSU rRNA
Rfam family: Bacterial small subunit ribosomal RNA
Source: RNAcentral
AUACAUGCAGUCGAGCGGACGGAUGGGAGCUUGCUCCCUGAAGUCAGCGGCGGACGGGUGAGUAACACGUGGGCAACCUGCCUGUAAGACUGGGAUAACUUCGGGAAACCGGAGCUAAUACCGGAUAAUGCACAGCCUCUCAUGAGGCUAUGCUGAAAGAUGGUUUCGGCUAUCACUUACAGAUGGGCCCGCGGCGCAUUAGCUAGUUGGUGAGGUAACGGCUCACCAAGGCAACGAUGCGUAGCCGACCUGAGAGGGUGAUCGGCCACACUGGGACUGAGACACGGCCCAGACUCCUACGGGAGGCAGCAGUAGGGAAUCUUCCGCAAUGGACGAAAGUCUGACGGAGCAACGCCGCGUGAGUGAUGAAGGUUUUCGGAUCGUAAAACUCUGUUGUCAGGGAAGAACAAGUGCCGGAGUAACUGCCGGCACCUUGACGGUACCUGACCAGAAAGCCACGGCUAACUACGUGCCAGCAGCCGCGGUAAUACGUAGGUGGCAAGCGUUGUCCGGAAUUAUUGGGCGUAAAGCGCGCGCAGGCGGUCUCUUAAGUCUGAUGUGAAAGCCCACGGCUCAACCGUGGAGGGUCAUUGGAAACUGGGGGACUUGAGUGCAGAAGAGGAAAGUGGAAUUCCACGUGUAGCGGUGAAAUGCGUAGAGAUGUGGAGGAACACCAGUGGCGAAGGCGACUUUCUGGUCUGUAACUGACGCUGAGGCGCGAAAGCGUGGGGAG